AUGCCCAUGAUGAUUAGCUACAUGUUGGAAUUACUGUCAGAUUUUUAAGUGGCGAAAAUUUAUGCAGUUUUCUGAGGUUUUAA
Triticum aestivum (bread wheat) is the source of this 83-nucleotide non-coding RNA. Lineage: Eukaryota; Viridiplantae; Streptophyta; Magnoliopsida; Poales; Poaceae. The record is from Rfam.